Molecule: ribosomal RNA, 383 nt
Filed under: uncultured Methanosaeta sp.
Lineage: Archaea; Methanobacteriati; Methanobacteriota; Methanomicrobia; Methanotrichales; Methanotrichaceae
Description: bacterial SSU rRNA
Rfam family: Archaeal small subunit ribosomal RNA
Source: RNAcentral
GGCUGAAGACUUUGCCGGAUUAGCUGAGAGGUGGUGCAUGGCCGUCGUCAGUUCGUACUGUGAAGCAUCCUGUUAAGUCAGGCAACGAGCGAGACCCACGCCCACAGUUGCCAGCGUACUCUCUGGAGUGACGGGUACACUGUGGGGACCGCCGCUGCUAAAGCGGAGGAAGGAAUGGGCAACGGUAGGUCAGUAUGCCCCCGAAUAUCCCGGGCUACACGCGAGCUACAAUGGUUGGUACAAUGGGUAUCUACCCCGAAAGGGGACGGGAAUCUCCUAAAACCAAUCUUAGUUCGGAUUGAGGGCUGCAACUCGCCCUCAUGAAGCUGGAAUCCGUAGUAAUCGCGUUUCAACAGAACGCGGUGAAUACGUCCCUGCUCCUU